RNAcentral lists this transfer RNA (71 nucleotides) under Junonia genoveva hilaris. RNAcentral's name for it is "tRNA-His". The record is from RNAcentral. RNAcentral also lists the same sequence under 1 other name. Lineage: Eukaryota; Metazoa; Arthropoda; Insecta; Lepidoptera; Nymphalidae.
ACUUAAAUAAUUUAAAAAAAAAAUAUUGAUUUGUGGUAUCAAAAAUGUGAAAUUAUUAGUCAUUUUAAGUU